GAUGAACGCUGGCGGCGUGCUUAACACAUGCAAGUCGAACGAACGACUAUUAACAGAACCUUUCGGGGCGAAGAAUAUAGAAGUUAGUGGCGGACGGGUGCGUAACGCGUGGGUAAUCUGCCCUUGUCAAAGGAAUAACUAUUCGAAAGAAUAGCUAAAACCGUAUAACAUAUUAAUAGGGCAUCCUAAUAAUAUCAAAACGAUAGUGGACAAAGAUGAGCCCGCGUCUGAUUAGCUAGUUGGUGAGAUAAAAGCCCACCAAGGCAACGAUCAGUAGCCGACCUGAGAGGGUGAACGGCCACAUUGGAACUGAGACACGGUCCAAACUCCUACGGGAGGCAGCAGUGGGGAAUAUUGCACAAUGGGGGGAACCCUGAUGCAGCAACGCCGCGUGAGUGAAGAAGGCAUUCGUGUCGUAAAACUCUGUAGUAGGGGAAGAAAGAAAUGACAGUACCCUAAAAGAAAGCCCCGGCUAACUACGUGCCAGCAGCCGCGGUAAUACGUAGGGGGCAAGCGUUAUCCGGAAUAACUGGGCGUAAAGGGUGCGCAGGUGGUUUAACAAGUUAGUGGUGAAAGGCAUAGGCUCAACCAAUGUAAGCCAUUAAAACUGUUUAACUUGAGUGCAGGAGAGGAAAGUGGAAUUCCUAGUGUAGCGGUGAAAUGCGUAGAUAUUAGGAGGAAUACCAGUGGCGAAGGCGACUUUCUGGACUGCAACUGACACUGAGGCACGAAAGCGUGGGGAGCAAACAGG
This 751-nucleotide ribosomal RNA is filed under the name uncultured Filifactor sp. RNAcentral describes it as "bacterial SSU rRNA". It matches the Rfam family "Bacterial small subunit ribosomal RNA", at positions 28 to 776 of the family's 1533-position model. Lineage: Bacteria; Bacillati; Bacillota; Clostridia; Peptostreptococcales; Filifactoraceae. The record is from RNAcentral.